Molecule: non-coding RNA, 371 nt
Organism: Carica papaya (papaya)
Lineage: Eukaryota; Viridiplantae; Streptophyta; Magnoliopsida; Brassicales; Caricaceae
Source: RefSeq, a predicted model, not a curated record
CGUGGAACCGAGUGCCUGCAUUGUUGAUUCCAGAGGGUUUUACGUGGUUGAGGGGAAGACACUCGAUCGAGAUUUGCACAGGUUAACUCUGUUCCUCUGUGUGGAAUUGCUGCUUCAAUGGAUUAUCUGUACCAGUAACAUUCCUCAAGUCAAAACACUAUAUUCCAAUUUAAUUGUUUUCUCCCUCAGAAGAUCACUUCCAGGCAAAGAGAAGAGAUUGUCAACUCCUUAUUUUCCCCCCCAAGUUACAAGAAAUUUUGUAAGAAGCUUGCUCUCCUAGAAGGCUAGACUCCUCUUGAACAGUACUGAAUUUUUCACAACUCUUGAUCAACAUUAUAACUAUCAUAAAAUAAUCUUUUUAUUCUGGUUAA